Molecule: long non-coding RNA, 973 nt
Organism: Oreochromis aureus
Lineage: Eukaryota; Metazoa; Chordata; Actinopteri; Cichliformes; Cichlidae
Exons: 3
Source: RefSeq, a predicted model, not a curated record
AAUACCAUAUUGUAUUCAUACAGAAUCAGUUUGGUAUCAUUGUUUGUCUGAUUGCUGAAACUAAGAGCUAGUUUUGAUCUAAAGUAUCCAAAGUUGAGCUCUAAUGUUUCUUCACCCUUGUGUGUGUGAUAUGUGAUUUCCUACAUGCUGACAGAGCAGAGCGGCCGUUUGUGCUCACAGAUGGUGACGGUGUGGAGAGACGGUGGUGUUUCCUCAGAAGAACUAGCAGAGUCACAAAGGGCACGAGUCCAUCUCACCACCUUGACUUGUUGAUCAGUGGACACACUUGUCUCCCCUUUAAAGGAGACACUCUUAGAGAGAGACGAUCUGAGUCAUCCUUAAAUAUGGGCAGGAUAUCAGUCUUGGACUGUCUAACCUGCAGGAGCAGCACUGAAUGAUCACCACACAUGAUCAGUUCCUGCAACAUUCAGCAGCUCUGCUUUUGUGUCAAAUGUCAACCAGCUGGAGAGGAAACUACACCAGUGUACUGGGAUGUUUCACCAACACGUGCCAGACGCUGUUCCUUCAUGGUGACAUCACCAGAGACAGCCCCGCCCACCUCAGGACCUCGCCAUUGAUCAUGAUGAUUUUAAUGAUGACAGCGAGCGGAACUAAGACUGUAAAAAUCAGAAUGUUUAGAUGCUUUCUAAUUAUUAAUGAAUACUGAGAGCCUCUUUCUGUGUUUUGUCUGUUUUGUUUUUUUUUACCUCAUUUGUUACUAACAAAGUUCAACAAACUCACACAGUUUACAUUCUGUAUGUUUCCAUCUUUACCAGCCACACUCUACCCGCAAUUAAGCAAAUAAUCCUUAGAAAUCGUCGUUUUUCUCUUUUGUAAUUGAUGAUAAUUCAGUGAAUAUACUGCGCUGCUUCCUUUUAUUUCGUCACACAUUGCUUUAAGUUUUUCCAGUGUCCAGUUAUUUUUUUACUGUUGUUUGAAUUCUCUGUAUGUUUGACCCUGUAGACUGUUUAAU